UACCGAGUUUACAACUCCCAAACCCAAUGUGAACGUUACCAAACUGUUGCCUCGGCGGGGUCACGCCCCGGGUGCGUAAAAGCCCCGGACCCAGGCGCCCGCCGGAGGGACCAACCAAACUCUUUUCUGUAGCCUUCGGGCGUUAUUUCUUACAGCUCUGAGCAAAAAUUCAAAAUGAAUCAAAACUUUCAACAACGGAUCUCUUGGUUCUGGCAUCGAUGAAGAACGCAGCGAAAUGCGAUAAGUAAUGUGAAUUGCAGAAUUCAGUGAAUCAUCGAAUCUUUGAACGCACAUUGCGCCCGCCAGUAUUCUGGCGGGCAUGCCUGUCCGAGCGUCAUUUCAACCCUCGAACCCCCUCGGGGGUCCGGGGUUGGGGAUCGGGAACCCCUAAGACGGGAUCCCGGCCCCGAAAUACAGUGGCGGUCUCGCCGCAGCCUCUCCUGCGCAGUAGUUUGCACAACUCGCACCGGGAGCGCGGCGCGUCCACGUCCGUAAAACACCCAACUUCUGAAAUGUUGACCUCGGAUCAGGUAGGAAUACCCGC
This 544-nucleotide ribosomal RNA is filed under the name Trichoderma sp. MS283. RNAcentral's name for it is "eukaryotic LSU rRNA". The stretch from base 184 to 337 matches the Rfam family "5.8S ribosomal RNA". The record is from RNAcentral. Lineage: Eukaryota; Fungi; Ascomycota; Sordariomycetes; Hypocreales; Hypocreaceae.